This 253-nucleotide ribosomal RNA is filed under the name uncultured bacterium. RNAcentral describes it as "partial 16S ribosomal RNA". It matches the Rfam family "Bacterial small subunit ribosomal RNA", at positions 524 to 776 of the family's 1533-position model. The record is from RNAcentral.
UACGUAGGCAGCAAGCGUUGUUCGGAAUUACUGGGCGUAAAGAGUGUGUAGGCGGUGCUCUAAGUCUGUUGUGAAAUCUCCCGGCUUAACUGGGAGGGUGCGGCGGAGACUGGAGUGCUAGAGUGUGGGAGAGGUAAGCGGAAUUCCUGGUGUAGCGGUGAAAUGCGUAGAUAUCAGGAGGAACACCAAUGGCGAAGGCAGAUCUCUGGGCCGUAACUGACGCUGAGGAGCGAAAGCAUGGGGAGCGAACAGG